CAGCAAAGUUGUCAGUUUAAAAUGGCGAAUACUUUGGAUAAAGGUUGGCAAUAGUGAUAGUGCAUUUUUCCGUCCCUCUCAAUUGUUCUUGUUUGAAGAUGGCCUCGAACAAAUUGCUACAUU
Phoenix dactylifera (date palm) is the source of this 123-nucleotide small nucleolar RNA. Lineage: Eukaryota; Viridiplantae; Streptophyta; Magnoliopsida; Arecales; Arecaceae. The record is from RefSeq and is a predicted model, not a curated record.